RNAcentral lists this ribosomal RNA (402 nucleotides) under uncultured Actinomycetes bacterium. RNAcentral describes it as "bacterial SSU rRNA". It matches the Rfam family "Bacterial small subunit ribosomal RNA", at positions 1045 to 1448 of the family's 1533-position model. The record is from RNAcentral. Lineage: Bacteria; Bacillati; Actinomycetota; Actinomycetes.
AUGGUUGUCGUCAGCUCGUGUCGUGAGAUGUUGGGUUAAGUCCCGCAACGAGCGCAACCCUCGUUCUGUGUUGCCAGCAUUUAGUUGGGGACUCACAGGAGACUGCCGGGGUUAACUCGGAGGAAGGUGGGGAUGACGUCAAAUCAUCAUGCCCCUUAUGUCUUGGGCUGCACGCAUGCUACAAUGGCUGGUACAAACGGCUGCAAUACCGCAAGGUGGAGCGAAUCCGAGAAAGCCAGUCUCAGUUCGGAUUGGGGUCUGCAACUCGACCCCAUGAAGUCGGAGUUGCUAGUAAUCGUAGAUCAGCAACGCUACGGUGAUACGUUCCCGGGGCUUGUACACACCGCCCGUCACGUCACGGAAGUCGGUAACACCCGAAGUCAGUAGCCCAACCGCAAGGAG